UACGAAGGGUGCAAGCGUUACUCGGAAUUACUUGGCGUAACGGGCUCGUCGGCGGCCAACUAAGUCAGACGUGAAAUCCCUCGGCUUAACCGGGGAACUGCAUCUGAUACUGGAUGGCUUGAGAUUGGGAGAGGGAUGCGGAAUUCCAGGUGUAGCGGUGAAAUGCGUAGAUAUCUGGAGGAACACCGGUGGCGAAGGCGGCAUCCUGGACCAACACUGACGCUGAGGAGCGAAAGCCAGGGGAGCAAACGGG
Molecule: ribosomal RNA, 253 nt
Filed under: uncultured bacterium
Lineage: Bacteria
Description: partial 16S ribosomal RNA
Rfam family: Bacterial small subunit ribosomal RNA
Source: RNAcentral